UGAAGGCCAGGCUGAAGACUUUGCCGGAUUAGCUGAGAGGUGGUGCAUGGCCGUCGUCAGUUCGUACUGUGAAGCAUCCUGUUAAGUCAGGCAACGAGCGAGACCCACGCCCACAGUUGCCAGCGUACUCUCUGGAGUGACGGGUACACUGUGGGGACCGCCGCUGCUAAAGCGGAGGAAGGAAUGGGCAACGGUAGGUCAGUAUGCCCCGAAUAUCCCGGGCUACACGCGAGCUACAAUGGUUGGUACAAUGGGUAUCUACCCCGAAAGGGGACGGGAAUCUCCUAAAACCAAUCUUAGUUCGGAUUGAGGGCUGCAACUCGCCCUCAUGAAGCUGGAAUCCGUAGUAAUCGCGUUUCAACAGGACGCGGUGAAUACGUCCCUGCUCCUU
This 391-nucleotide ribosomal RNA is filed under the name uncultured Methanosaeta sp. Its description in RNAcentral is "bacterial SSU rRNA". It matches the Rfam family "Archaeal small subunit ribosomal RNA", at positions 948 to 1338 of the family's 1478-position model. Lineage: Archaea; Methanobacteriati; Methanobacteriota; Methanomicrobia; Methanotrichales; Methanotrichaceae. The record is from RNAcentral.